This 206-nucleotide ribosomal RNA is filed under the name uncultured bacterium. RNAcentral describes it as "partial 16S ribosomal RNA". It matches the Rfam family "Bacterial small subunit ribosomal RNA", at positions 568 to 774 of the family's 1533-position model. The record is from RNAcentral.
UCCGUAGGCGGGCUUGUAAGUCAGUGGUGAAAUCCGGCAGCUUAACUGUCGAACUGCCAUUGAUACUGUGAGCCUUGAAUUACUAUGAAGUGGUUAGAAUAUGUAGUGUAGCGGUGAAAUGCUUAGAUAUUACAUGGAAUACCAAUUGCGAAGGCAGAUCACUAAUAGUACAUUGACGCUGAGGGAGAAAGCGUGGGUAGCGAACA